RNAcentral lists this ribosomal RNA (211 nucleotides) under uncultured Staphylococcus sp. RNAcentral's name for it is "partial 16S ribosomal RNA". It matches the Rfam family "Bacterial small subunit ribosomal RNA", at positions 150 to 356 of the family's 1533-position model. The record is from RNAcentral. Lineage: Bacteria; Bacillati; Bacillota; Bacilli; Caryophanales; Staphylococcaceae.
CGGGAAACCGGAGCUAAUACCGGAUAAUAUUCGAACCGCAUGGUUCGAUAGUGAAAGAUGGUUUUGCUAUCACUUAUAGAUGGACCCGCGCCGUAUUAGCUAGUUGGUAAGGUAACGGCUUACCAAGGCGACGAUACGUAGCCGACCUGAGAGGGUGAUCGGCCACACUGGAACUGAGACACGGUCCAGACUCCUACGGGAGGCAGCAGUG